RNAcentral lists this ribosomal RNA (435 nucleotides) under uncultured bacterium. RNAcentral describes it as "partial 16S ribosomal RNA". It matches the Rfam family "Bacterial small subunit ribosomal RNA", at positions 29 to 507 of the family's 1533-position model. The record is from RNAcentral.
AACGAACGCUGGCGGCAGGCUUAACACAUGCAAGUCGAACGCAUGCCUUCGGGCAUGAGUGGCAGACGGGUGAGUAACGCGUGGGAACCUACCCCUUGGUACGGGAUAGCUCCGGGAAGCUGGAGAUAAUACCGUAUGUGUCCUGAGGGACAAAGAUUCAUCGCUAAGGGAUGGGCCCGCGUCGGAUUAGCUAGUUGGUGGGGUAACGGCCUACCAAGGCGACGAUCCGUAGCUGGUCUAAGAGGAUGAUCAGCCACAUUGGGACUGAGACACGGCCCAAACUCCUACGGGAGGCAGCAGUGGGGAAUAUUGGACAAUGGGCGCAAGCCUGAUCCAGCCAUGCCGCGUGAGUGAUGAAGGCCCUAGGGUUGUAAAGCUCUUUCACCGGUGACGAUAAUGACGGUAACCGGAGAAGAAGCCCCGGCUAACUUCGUG